CAUAUCUUGGCUUGUCCAUUAUUAUCUAUUUACUGUGAACUGUAUUAUUAUUUGACAUUUGAGGGAUGUUCCAAUGUUAUAAGGAUAGACAUUGGAAAUGUUAACCGAGUCAUAAUCAGGUUUAGGCCUGGUAUCCUAUUAUUAUUUACCAAAUGAAUUCAGAAUUAAUAUUGUAACAUAGACCUAAAAAAUCUAUAAAACAACUUUUAACAACGGAUCUCUUGGUUCUCGCAUCGAUGAAGAACGUAGCAAAGUGCGAUAACUAGUGUGAAUUGCAUAUUCAGUGAAUCAUCGAGUCUUUGAACGCAACUUGCGCUCAUUGGUAUUCCAAUGAGCACGCCUGUUUCAGUAUCAAAACAAACCCUCUAUCCAACUUUUGUUGUAUAGGAUUAUUGGGGGCCUCUCGAUCUGUAUAGAUCUUGAAAUCCCUGAAAUUUACUAAGGCCUGAACUUGUUUAAAUGCCUGAACUUUUUUUUAAUAUAAAGGAAAGCUCUUGUAAUUGACUUUGAUGGGGCCUCCCAAAUAAAUCUUUUUUAAAUUUGAUCUGAAAUCAGGCGGGAUUACCCGCUGAACUUAAGCAUAUCAAAG
RNAcentral lists this ribosomal RNA (589 nucleotides) under Mucor racemosus. RNAcentral's name for it is "eukaryotic LSU rRNA". The stretch from base 202 to 354 matches the Rfam family "5.8S ribosomal RNA". Lineage: Eukaryota; Fungi; Mucoromycota; Mucoromycetes; Mucorales; Mucoraceae. The record is from RNAcentral.